AUGGCUCAAGUGAUUGGGUUCCUGCCACCCACGUGGAAGAUCCAGAUUGAAUCCCCAGAUCCUGACUUCAACCCCCUAGCUGUUGUGAGCACCCAGGUGAUACCCCAGUCCCACCCUCAGACUGCUCCCCCCCUCUCUGGAUAUUCUACAAACAACCUUGGUUCUGGGAUGUUCCCCUCCAACCUCGGCCCCUCACCCCACUGGCUACCAAGUUCUGCCUUCUCCCCAGGAGGACUCUGCCCAUCCUUGGUCACUGGACACGUCCCACAUCACCCAGGAUGUCCUGGCUACUCACUGUCUGCUGAGUGUCCAACAACUUUCUGGGAUCCAGUGACUGCUGAAAACAUAGAUGGCCAAAGCUCAAGGCCUCUUUUCUGGAACAUGUGUCAACAUCUCACACCUGGCCUUAUUCUUCCUUCAAAAAUGCCACCACCUGAGAAGCUUCCAUCCAACUCCCCAGACCCAAUCUCCCUCUCCCUCUCUCUCUCUCUCCCCCUCCCCCUUUCAAAUAAGCAAAGAAAUAAAUUCUUUUUUUUUAAGACUUUAUUUAUGUAUUUGAAAUUCAGAGAGAGAGAGAGAGAGAUGUCUUUCAUCCGUUGGUUCACUCCCCAAUUGGCUGAAAUGGCUGGAGCUGCGCCAAUCCGAAGCCAGGAGCCAGGAGCUUCUUCCAGGUUUCCCACAUGGGUGCAGGGGCCCAAGGCCCUGGACCAUCUUCUACUGCUUUCCCAGGCCAUAGCAGAGAGCUGGAUUGGAAGUGGAGCAGCCAGGACUGGAACCAGUGUUCACGUGGGAUGCCGGCACUACAGGUGGUGGCUUUACCCUCUACACCACAGCGCAGGCCCCAUAAAAUCUUUUACAAUGGGCUAAUAAUUUAAGCAGACAUUUCUCCAAAGAUAUACAAAUGACCAAUGAGCCUAUGAAAAGAUGCUCGGUGUCAUUAGCCCUCAGGGAAACGCAAAUGAAAACCACAAAGAGACACCACCUCACCAUCAUUUUGGCAGCUGCCAUCAAAGACAGGCAAUAGCAAGUGUUAGGGAGGAGUGCAGAGCUGUGUGCUGGCCUGUGCUGUGGGGCAGAGGGAAUGGAGAGGGAGAGGGAGAGGGCAGCUGAGAGUGUGAGGGUAGGAACAGGGUAAUUGUGAGUGCUUACAUGGAGCCUUAAGACAGACCGAAGCAGAUGUUGCAAGAGAGGCAGGGCUGGUGAACUGCUCCUUCUCACUGAAAAGAACUGGAGAUCUUUCAUUUGAAAAGAAUUGGAGAGCUGAACUUCCAAGGAAUCCCAUCCAAGAAAGACCGGCAUUUGGUAGCUGCCAGAUGGUGCCACUUGGGUUUGCCUGGUGAUAGGCCAGCUCUGCGGGCUCCACCCAUGCUCAGAGGAGCUGAGCUGGUUUCUGCUGAUAAGAGUUUGUCCACAGGCCAUGAGAACACACCUGAGGUUCUGAGGGAGGAACAAACUCAGUGCAUUAGAUUUCCUCGUGGGCGCUUUUGAAGCAGGAAGCCACCUGCUGAGAACUCCUGGGGUAACAAAUCAGGGGACAGGGUACCUUCCUUAGUGCGAUGCUGGCUCACUGAGGCACAAAAGGAUUUUUUUUAUUUAUUUUUUUAUUUUUUUUGACAGGCAGAGUGGACAGUGAGAGAGAGAGACAGAGAGAAAGGUCUUCCUUUGCCGUUGGUUCACCCUACAAUGGCCGCCGCGGCCAGCGCGCUUCAGCCCACGCACCGCACUGAUCCGAUGGCAGGAGCCAGGUGCUUCUCCUGGUCUCCCAUGGGGUGCAGGGCCCAAGCACUUGGGCCAUCCUCCACUGCACUCCCGGGCCACAGCAGAGAGCUGGCCUGGAAGAGGGGCAAAUGGGACAGAAUCCGGUGCCCCGACCGGGACUAGAACCCAGUGUGCCGGCGCCGCAAGGCAGAGGAUGAGCCUAGUGAGCCAAAGCGCCAGCCGCACAAAAGGAUUUUAAAAAGUCAUUGGAAAGUGGAAUGAGGAGAUAAUGCCCUUUUCCCAGGCUUGUUUUGAAGAGUUCUUAUGUAAUUCAAAUACCGGUGACAGGUGACAGAGUGAUCUAAAGUUAUUAACACAAACGGGCUUCUUUUAAGACCUCUAAAAUAUGUAGAGGCUCUUAUUUAUUUGGAGACCCAACACAUAUGUGUACUGCAACACAUUUUAAGAAUCAUAGAUGGGGCCUGGCAUUUUGAUGCAACACUGGCAUCCCACAUUGGAGCCUCGCUUUAAAUCCUGGAUGCUCUGUUUCCAAUCCAGUUCCCUACAAAGGAGCCUGGGAAAACAAUGGAUGGUGGCCCAAGUACUUGGGAGACUCAGAUGGAGUUCUGGCUCCUGGCUUCAGCCCAGUCAUUUGUGGAGAGGACCAGAAGAUGGAAGAUCUUUCUUUUCUCUCUCUCCCUCUCACUCUGUCACUCUGAGUUUCAAAUAGAUCAAAUAAGUCGUUUACAAAAUAAAAAUCAUAGAUACUAAGUUCA
Molecule: long non-coding RNA, 2474 nt
Filed under: Oryctolagus cuniculus (rabbit)
Lineage: Eukaryota; Metazoa; Chordata; Mammalia; Lagomorpha; Leporidae
Description: lncRNA (ENSOCUG00000034091.1)
Source: RNAcentral